Long non-coding RNA from Lytechinus pictus (painted urchin), 1930 nucleotides. RefSeq lists it as uncharacterized. NCBI's taxonomy places the organism in Eukaryota, Metazoa, Echinodermata, Echinoidea, Temnopleuroida, Toxopneustidae. The transcript has 3 exons. The record is from RefSeq and is a predicted model, not a curated record.
AAUACAUACACUGCACAUUUUUAUCGAGUGCGAUAAAGAAGGACAAAGAAGGCCGUUUUAAUAAUAAUUCAACCACUGAAAUCACACGGACCAGAUUUGGAAAAUGACUUGAAAGCUAAGACAUUCGCAGUAGGCUCUACAAGAGAGGGAGACCCAAAACUACCUGGAGUCAUACUGAGCCUCGAGGAGGAGAUGAAGUCAGUGAACAUGACCGAUCGUUUCCAGAAGAAGGCCCAGCUCAGAACCGCCAGGAGCUAGGAGUGGAGAUCCGAAUAUUUUGUUGCUGCCCUCCAUGAGAGGAGGCUAUACAUCGCAUCUACCAGCAAAGAAUGUGUGCCAGUACAGGAAAGGAAUGUACAGUACCUGUCGCACAUGAACUCUUCAUAGGCAGUGAGGACAAGAUCUGCAAGCAAGUGAUCCUUUUAGUAAGAAAAUUUCCAAUUUGUACAUUUUACAAUUAAUUUUUUUUAAGCCUUUGUACACAUUUAGAGUAUCAAAGCUUACAAAAUGUAAAAAUUAAAUGUUUGCCCAAAAAUCAUUAUGGGAAAGGUGGAUUUCCGAGGGAAAUCUAUCUUUGUUUACACAGUUGUACGAGCAACCUUAUAGGAAGCUUGUCUAGGCUCCGUGAUGAAAAUACAAUGUAAAAAUUAUGAAAUGAUCUUCAUGGAGUCCUCUAGGCUAGCCAGUGACAUGGGCCCAUGUCCAUCAAUUUUAAUUCAUGCUUUUGCAUAACCAUAUGGCGUGAAUUUGGAACUGGAAUUAUAAUUUCAGAUUGACCUCCGAAAUGAAACGUGCACAGUUAGUCUGAACUAAAAUAAAAUUUCCUGAAUUUUUUCUUAAAUCUGGAGGCUGAGGUAAUUUUUUUAUCUUUGAAAUUAAAUUGGUUCUUGUUGUUUUUUUACCUCUGACUUACCAGUAUGUGUGGAGGUACCAUAGAAGUAGAAUUAAUGGGAUGGUCCAGGCUGGAAACAUAUCUCAAUAAAUAGAGGAAAAUUCACAGAGCAAAAUGCUGAAAACUUUAUCAAAAUUGGAUAACUAAUAGAGGUUUUGAAUUCUAAAGAUUUGCAUUAUUCCGGUGAAAUAGUUCUAGGCAUGUCUUUAUGAAUAUUCAUUAGGUUGGCUGAUGAUGUCAUAUCCCAAUUGCCCUUUUGUAUUUUAUUAUAUGAGAUUAGGUUUAUUAAAAUAUUUUUAACCAAGAACUAUUGACAAUUGUAUUGACAACUGAUUAGGUGCAUUAGUUAUUGACGCAACUUAUUUCAUUACAAUGGAGACGCAUCAUUUACACAUGUAUGAAAAAAUCAAACAUUUAUGAUUUCAUCUAGUAACAUAAAAAAAAGGAAAGUGGAGAUGUGACAUCAGCCCACCUAAUGAAUAUUCAUGACAAAGUGCAUACAACCGUUUUCACAAAAUAUUGAUAAACUUUAAAAUUCAAUAACUUCUUGUUAUCCUAUUUUGAUGAGAUUUUCAUCAUAUUGCUCUGAAUUUUACUAAAUUAUUAUUUAGAUGUAAAUAUUUUCGGCCCAGACCAUCCCUUUAAUUCUCGGAUAAAAUUUUGUAUUUAAAAUGUUUUUUUGCCUUGUCUUGCGUUUUUAAACAUGUUCUGGGAACUGUUUUUUGAAAGUUGUCAGCAUUAACAAGUUGUCUUUUUCCGACAGUUACCAUAGCAACAGUCAGAGCCCAGUGCUCUUAGCCAAUCAAUAGCAAUGAUUUCACUGAAAUAGUCGGCAUUGACAAUCAUGAAAUACCCAUCAGAUGUUAGCAGAUAAUGUGCAACAUAGACUCCUUUAAAAAUAGUACAUUAUAGUACAUAAUAGCACAUUACAGUACAUUAUUUUUUAAGGUAAAUGCUUAGAUGCAUUAUAUUCAAAUUUUGUCUCCAAGCUAGCUUGUAAAAAUUGGAUUGACUACAUAUAUACUGUGUAAGUUAAUG